RNAcentral lists this non-coding RNA (26 nucleotides) under Rattus norvegicus (Norway rat). Lineage: Eukaryota; Metazoa; Chordata; Mammalia; Rodentia; Muridae. The record is from RNAcentral.
UGAAGGCACUACUGGUGGGCUGAAAU